RNAcentral lists this non-coding RNA (181 nucleotides) under Bacillota bacterium. RNAcentral describes it as "Firmicutes bacterium (sediment metagenome) 6S RNA". It matches the Rfam family "6S / SsrS RNA". Rfam says of the family: E. coli 6S RNA was the first non coding RNA to be sequenced, but its function was unknown until recently. It consists of 184 nucleotides that fold into an extended hairpin structure with a large single-stranded internal bulge. The record is from RNAcentral. Lineage: Bacteria; Bacillati; Bacillota.
GCGUUCCUGCCGUGCGCGUGGAGGAUGACAGUCCCGAUCCAACACGCACGACGCCGGGAGCCCGGCUUCGGCCGUGGAGGGCCAGCCCCAGACGGCAUGGGGACGCGUGAAGCGGCCGGGAGGGCACCCACUUAUUGAUAGCAGGUUGGGGACUGCAGCCUUACGGCACGGCGGGACAGAC